RNAcentral lists this ribosomal RNA (349 nucleotides) under Bacillus subtilis. RNAcentral describes it as "bacterial SSU rRNA". It matches the Rfam family "Bacterial small subunit ribosomal RNA", at positions 28 to 363 of the family's 1533-position model. The record is from RNAcentral. Lineage: Bacteria; Bacillati; Bacillota; Bacilli; Caryophanales; Bacillaceae.
GACGAACGCUGGCGGCGUGCCUAAUACAUGCAAGUCGAGCGGACAGAUGGGAGCUUGCUCCCUGAUGUUAGCGGCGGACGGGUGAGUAACACGUGGGUAACCUGCCUGUAAGACUGGGAUAACUCCGGGAAACCGGGGCUAAUACCGGAUGCUUGAUUGAACCGCAUGGUUCAAUUAUAAAAGGUGGCGUUUUAGCUACCACUUACAGAUGGACCCGCGGCGCAUUAACUAUGUUGGUGAGGUAACGGCUCACCAAGGCAACGAUGCSUAGUCGACCUGAGAGGGUGAUCGGCCACACUGGGACUGAGACACGGCCCACUACUCCUACGGGAGGCAGCAGUAGGGAAUC